RNAcentral lists this ribosomal RNA (118 nucleotides) under Sinocyclocheilus grahami. Lineage: Eukaryota; Metazoa; Chordata; Actinopteri; Cypriniformes; Cyprinidae. The record is from RNAcentral.
GCUGCGCAGUCAUAUCACCCUGUAGCCCAAGACUGGUUGCCCACUGAAGCUAAGCAGGGUUGAGCUGGUCAGUACCUAGAUGCGAGACCUGUUGGAAGAGGUGUUAGUGAGGCCAGCA